GCCGAGUCUUCUCCCUGGGAACACCUGCCCCUUUGUAGGUUGGCACCUGUGCUUUUAAGCUUGAGCACCUGUCUGAUUCAGAUCUCCUGCUACUCAGCGGACGAGUCCGUGCUUUGUUUCUGCUAAAUAGAGGGGGGGUACUUUUUGCAGGCAGCCGUUUCGUUUGCAUUCAUGGCACAAGGCGGGAGCUGCUCAGUUACGGCAGGGAAAGCCAGGCAGCGGCAGCAGCAGAACACACAGUUAUUUCCCCCGCAUCUUUCUUCCCUCACAACACCCCUGCGAGGUAGGUAGAUUAGCCUGGGAGAGACUGGCUGUCCCAAGGUCACUCAGCAAACUUCAGAGCAGAGUAUAUUUUUCAUCUUGAUCUUCCUGGCCCUAAUCCAACAUGCGAACAUCUGUAUUAUUCAACAGAAUGUUUUAGCUCGAGUAGGUUUAGUUGCACUUACUGUCAGAUUGUUGCAAAUCAAAUAGAUUCCACAUAUUUGGGGGGGAGCACAGGGUUGCUGCUGUGCAAGAGAGAGAGAGAGAGAGAGAGAGAGAGAGAGAGAGAUCAGAAGAGGACACCAACUUGCACAACAUCUGCAGGUGCUAAUUCAUAUGUACAGUUUUACCUCGGGUUACAGACGCUUCAGGUUCCAUACGCUUCAGGUUACAGACUCCGCUAACCCAGAAAUAGUGCUUCAGGUUAAGAACCUUGCUUCAGGAUGAGAACAGAAAUCGUGCUCUGGCGGCGCGGCGGCAGUGGGAGGCCCCAUUAGCUAAAGUGGUGCUUCAGGUUAAGAACAGUUGCAGGUUCAGAACGGACCUCCGGAACAAAUUAAGUACUUAACCCAAGGUACUACUGUAGCUGAGACUCCAAUACUUUGGCCACCUCAUGAGAAGAGAAGACUCCCUGGAAAAGACCCUGAUGUUGGGAAAGAUGGAGGGCACAAGGAGAAGGGGACGACAGAGGACAAGAUGGUUGGACGGUGUUCUCGAAGCUACAAACAUGAGUUUGACCAAACUGCGGGAGGCAGUGGAAGACAGGAGUGCCUGGCGUGCUCUGGUCCAUGGGGUCACGAAGAGUCAGACACGACUAAACGACUAAACAACAACAACACUACUGUAUAGAUGCAAAUGUAGAAAUAAUUCCUGUAGCCAAGCUAUCCACUGGACUUCAUGGGGCAAUGUUGGUCCCUAAGCUUGUCUCUCUCCCUCUCCCUGCCCUCUCCCUGUCGCCCCCUCUCUCUUUCUCUCUCUCUCUCCUUCAGUCAUUUGGAAGUGGAUUUGUAGCAAUGAUCGCUGGGUGUGGAGCACACUCCCCCUCACAGAUAAAGCCACCGCUGUCUGAACAUCUUGCCCUCUGUCUAACCUUUUGCCAUCUCAGUAGUCUGCGGUGUCCUGUCUGUGACCUUUGUCUCUGAGACCUUUGUCUCCUUCGUCAUACACUGUGCAAGGGGAAAAUGACGUGGUGGAAACAGACGCCAAAAUAGCUUUGUACCACCCCACGAUCUCAGGACUGGAAGAUGUGUAAAGGUCACAGCCCAAAAUGUAUCUGCCUGGGUUUGCAUAUUGUGUCAAUAAAAGGAGCCUCCACAGAGCUGGCUGGCAGCUUGCUUGCAGCUCACCUGUGCGCAGCUCACCUGCAUUACCAACUCCUGCCUCAUGUCCUUCACUUCAUGGAUUGCUUAACAAAUAUGUGGUUUUAUUAGCGAUUCAUUGCAUCCUUCCAGAAUACAGAGGAAAAUUGUACAGGUAUGUUUAGCCUGGAGAAGAGGAGCCUGAGAGUUGAGAUGAGAACUGUCUUCUACAAUCUGAAGAUGGAGCAAGCUGGUUUCCUCCUGCUCCAGUGCGUUGGCCCUGAACCAGUUAAAUCCAGUGGAAUUUCAGUGAAACCAAAUGAAAAGAAAGGCGAUUCGAAAUAAACAUUGGGGAGAAGUUUCUGUCGGUAAGAGCUUUUUGUCAGUGAAACGGACUUUCUUGGAAGGUAUCAGCCUCUCCUCCACCA
This is a non-coding RNA of Podarcis lilfordi (Lilford's wall lizard), 1987 nucleotides long. NCBI's taxonomy places the organism in Eukaryota, Metazoa, Chordata, Lepidosauria, Squamata, Lacertidae. The record is from the annotation of a GenBank genome assembly.